GACGAACGCUGGCGGCGUGCUUAACACAUUCACGUCGAACGAUGAAGCUGGAGCUUGCUCUGGCGGAUUAGUGGCGAACGGGUGAGUAACACGUGAGAAAUCUGCCCUUGACUCUGGGAUAACUGCGGGAAACUGUAGCUAAUACCGGAUACUUUCCCUGGUCGGCAUCCACUGGGGAAGAAAGAAUCUCGGUCAAGGAUGACCUCGCGGCCUAUCAGCUUGUUGGUGAGGUAAUGGCUCACCAAGGCGACGACGGGUAGCCGGCCUGAGAGGGUGACCGGCCACACUGGGACUGAGACACGGCCCAGACUCCUACGGGAGGCAGCAGUGGGGAAUAUUGCACAAUGGGCGCAGCCUGAUGCAGCAACGCCGCGUGAGGGAUGAAGGCCUUCGGGUUGUAAACCUCUUUUAGCAGGGAAGAAGCGAAAGUGACGGUACCUGCAGAAAAAGCACCGGCUAACUACGUGCCAGCCGCCGCCGUAA
Molecule: ribosomal RNA, 483 nt
Filed under: uncultured bacterium
Lineage: Bacteria
Description: partial 16S ribosomal RNA
Rfam family: Bacterial small subunit ribosomal RNA
Source: RNAcentral